GAUGAACGCUGGCGGUAUGCUUAACACAUGCAAGUCGAACGGACUCUUCGGAGUUAGUGGCGGACGGGUGAGUAACGCGUGAGAAUCUGGCUUUGGGUUCGGGACAACCACUGGAAACGGUGGCUAAUACCGGAUGUGCCGAGAGGUAAAAGAGAAAUUGCCUGAAGAUGAGCUCGCGUCUGAUUAGCUAGUUGGUGAGGUAAAGGCUCACCAAGGCAGCGAUCAGUAGCUGGUCUGAGAGGAUGACCAGCCACACUGGGACUGAGACACGGCCCAGACCCCUACGGGAGGCAGCAGUGGGGAAUUUUCCGCAAUGGGCGAAAGCCUGACGGAGCAAUACCGCGUGAGGGAAGAAGGCUCUUGGGGUGUAAACCUCUUUUCUUAGGGAAGAACAAAAUGACGGUACCUAAGGAAUCAGCAUCGGCUAACUCCGUG
This 435-nucleotide ribosomal RNA is filed under the name uncultured bacterium. RNAcentral's name for it is "partial 16S ribosomal RNA". It matches the Rfam family "Bacterial small subunit ribosomal RNA", at positions 28 to 507 of the family's 1533-position model. The record is from RNAcentral.